GGACUCCUACGGGAGGCAGCAGUGAGGAAUAUUGGUCAAUGGGAGAGAUCCUGAACCAGCCACGCCGCGUGAGGGAAGACGGCCCUAUGGGUUGUAAACCUCUUUUGUCGGAGAACAAAACCCGGGACGAGUCCCGGACUGCGUGUAUCCGAAGAAAAAGCAUCGGCUAACUCCGUGCCAGCAGCCGAGGUAAUACGGAGGAUGCGAGCGUUAUCCGGAUUUAUUGGGUUUAACGGGAGCGUAGGCGGUCCGUUAAGUCAGCGGUAAAAUUGCGGGGCUCAACCCCGUCGAGCCGUUGAAACUGG
Molecule: ribosomal RNA, 305 nt
Filed under: uncultured bacterium
Lineage: Bacteria
Description: bacterial SSU rRNA
Rfam family: Bacterial small subunit ribosomal RNA
Source: RNAcentral